RNAcentral lists this ribosomal RNA (425 nucleotides) under Bacillus sp. (in: firmicutes). RNAcentral's name for it is "bacterial SSU rRNA". It matches the Rfam family "Bacterial small subunit ribosomal RNA", at positions 153 to 564 of the family's 1533-position model. Lineage: Bacteria; Bacillati; Bacillota; Bacilli; Caryophanales; Bacillaceae. The record is from RNAcentral.
UAAACCGGAGCUAAUACCGGAUAGUUCCUUGAACCGCAUGGUUCAAGGAUGAAAGACGGUUUCGGCUGUCACUUACAGAUGGACCCGCGGCGCAUUAGCUAGUUGGUGAGGUAACGGCUCACCAAGGCGACGAUGCGUAGCCGACCUGAGAGGGUGAUCGGCCACACUGGGACUGAGACACGGCCCAGACUCCUACGGGAGGCAGCAGUAGGGAAUCUUCCGCAAUGGACGAAAGUCUGACGGAGCAACGCCGCGUGAGUGAUGAAGGUUUUCGGAUCGUAAAGCUCUGUUGUUAGGGAAGAACAAGUGCAAGAGUAACUGCUUGCACCUUGACGGUACCUAACCAGAAAGCCACGGCUAACUACGUGCCAGCAGCCGCGGUAAUACGUAGGUGGCAAGCGUUGUCCGGAAUUAUUGGGCGUAAA